UACGUAGGGGGCGAGCGUUGUCCGGAUUUACUGGGCGUAAAGCGCGUGUAGGCGGUACUCUAAGUCCGGGGUGAAAUCCGGGGGCUUAACCCCCGAGCAGCGCCGGAAACUGGAGCGCUUGAGUGUCGGAGAGGGGAGUGGAAUUCUCGGUGUAGCGGUGAAAUGCGUAGAGAUCGAGAGGAACACCCGUGGCGAAGGCGGCUCCCUGGCCGAACACUGACGCUGAGACGCGAAAGCGUGGGGAGCGAACAGG
Molecule: ribosomal RNA, 253 nt
Filed under: uncultured bacterium
Lineage: Bacteria
Description: partial 16S ribosomal RNA
Rfam family: Bacterial small subunit ribosomal RNA
Source: RNAcentral